UGGCUUUGCAAUCCGGCCGGAAGCGCUUAUAUUCGUGCCUGCCGGCUUGCCGGCUAUGGCGAUAAACGGCCGAUGCAAUAAACCAUUCGGACCCGGGGGCGGUACCCGGCGCCUCCACCAUGAACCGCCGGAGAAAAAGGGCGGCUCCUGCUGGGGGCGAAACAGGAUCGACGAGGGUGUAAAGAUCGGACUUUUGCCCGGCAUGAUACCACCGUUAUCGGGUCAAAACUGUAGUUGCCAACGACAACUAUGCUCCGGUUCGUCUCGCUGCCUAAUGGCGGUGUGACUACGGAAACCAAGUCCUGACGGGUAGCACCGGCAGGCGGGGCCCGGAGGCGCCUGGCAACAGAAGCCUCCACC
RNAcentral lists this transfer-messenger RNA (360 nucleotides) under Phyllobacteriaceae bacterium. It matches the Rfam family "Alphaproteobacteria transfer-messenger RNA". From Rfam's summary of the family: Bacterial tmRNA, also known as 10Sa RNA or SsrA, is named for its dual tRNA and mRNA-like properties. Its role is to liberate the mRNA from a stalled ribosome. The record is from RNAcentral. Lineage: Bacteria; Pseudomonadati; Pseudomonadota; Alphaproteobacteria; Hyphomicrobiales; Phyllobacteriaceae.